GACAGCAAACCCACAGUCUCUGUACAAAAACACAAGCUGACACACUGACGAGCUGCUGGAAGCCUUUUUUCCACACUGUUCCACUCAACUUUUUACCUCCACUAGAGGGCCACAUUAUCAAGCAGGCGCUGCACUACUUCUGCACUGUGUUCAACCAUCUGUCAAUAAUAACUGCUGCUGUGAAGAGAACCAUUCUCACUCUGAAUGCUGAACAUCAGCUACUUUCUCCUCUUCAUUUCAGCCUCGUUGUACACAUGGAACAUUGGCUGUGGAUUAUUCUUGCUGCUCUUUGCUUUGAGUGUAAAGGAGAAGACAGAGUGAUCCAGCCAACAGCAGAUGUCAUUGCUACUGAAGGAGGCACAGUUACACUGGACUGUACAUUUGAGACCAGUUCCAACACUCCAACUUUGUUCUGGUACAAACAAGAAGAAAAUGGUUUCCCAAAGUUCAUGUUGAAACGUUUCUCAACAACAGCAGAAAAUGCUGCAGAGUUCCAGAAAGACAGAUUUGAUGCUGCAAUCAAGAAUAAGUCAGUUCCUCUGAAGAUCCAGAAGCUUCAGCUGUCUGACUCUGCUGUGUACUACUGUGCUCUGCAGCCCACAGUGACAGGAAACAGCAAAACUCUGCACAAAAACCUCUGCAGCAAACACAACACAAUACUCCACAACGUCCACUAGAGGGAGUCACACACUGCUCAACUUCAAUGGGAUGUGAUGAUCCAGUGUUGAAUCUUUUCACUCAUGAGACACAGCUGUGAUGAUGAGCUUCACAAAUGAAGACCAGUCUCCUCCUACUGACUGCAGAAGUGUUUCAUGAGAACUGUUUGUUUCCAGCUGUGAACAUCAGACCAACAACUCACAAAACUCAUUCAUACUGAACGUUCACUGACA
Chelmon rostratus (copperband butterflyfish) is the source of this 890-nucleotide non-coding RNA. Lineage: Eukaryota; Metazoa; Chordata; Actinopteri; Chaetodontiformes; Chaetodontidae. The record is from the annotation of a RefSeq genome assembly.